RNAcentral lists this unclassified non-coding RNA (1244 nucleotides) under Anthonomus grandis grandis. RNAcentral's name for it is "uncharacterized LOC126739100". Lineage: Eukaryota; Metazoa; Arthropoda; Insecta; Coleoptera; Curculionidae. The record is from RNAcentral.
AAGCGGCAGUCAGUAGCGCCACACUCGUGCGACAGUGAAAACAUGUCGGUCCUCGUAUCGCAGCAACAACAACCAUCGUCCCCAGAAUCGCAAAGUAUGACCGACCAAAAAGGCAUUCCCAAGUCGAAGAGGAAACUUCAAAAGCACCUGCGCAGCGCGGGACUGGCGUACGUAUCCCGCACCGGAAAACUAAUACCCGCCAAAAAAGUAUCAGAUGAACUAUGCCAAUGUCCCCACAAAUGCGACGAAUUGGUGCCAAUGGAAGCAAGAAAUAGUCUGUUUCAGCAUUUCUACGGUUUGGGAGAAGCCGAUCGUCAGAAUCAGUUUCUUAGGCAAAACAUGGACCUGAGAGCGAGACUUAACCUGCCAGAAACGACGGGGACCGGGCGACCUCCUAGGAGGAUCACUUGCAAGUACUUAGUGCCUUUAUUGGAAGAAGGAAGAUCCGUAGAAGUAUGCCAAAAAGCAUUCGUAAGUGCCUUUGUGAUAACGACAAAAAGAGUGAGACUACAGAGGGAGAAGUUGAUAUCUAGCCUAGGGUUGAAUAGUUACAGAAGUCACAACAGAAGUAAAAAAGACAAAGAUGAGAAGAAGGAACAACUUACCAAAAGCUUUGAAACAAACAACAAUAACAAUAUACUAUGGAAUAACAACACCAUAACCUUAUCAAGUCUAAAAUCUCAGUUUAACCUGCCUUCGAACCUAAGUCUUUAUGUACCAAGUAACGCAACACAUAUAAAAGUGGAUCCAAAUAUAUUAAAAGGCGGGCCAAAUUAUAUUAAAUUGGAGCAAAAGUUAUUGAAUAACAACGAAUCAACAACGUCAGAUACAAGCUCCGCGAAGAGGUUAGCAAGCAUUUUAGGUAAAAAAUCUCUUGAAGAGUUACGCGAAUUAAAUAUAACCUUAGAGGACGAGUCUAACAGCGAUUCAGAUACGGACACUAAACCUCCACUGGCCAAAAGAGUUAAGAAAGAGAAAAAUCUGUGGAGUGAUUUACAGUCAGAAAGCCCGCUAAUUCCCUUAGGGCUUAUGGUACCAGAUGGCGUAACAAUCGCCCCGGUGAUGGGACCAGACCAUGACAGAAAUCUCGCCAUUGUUAACAACUUUUUCCAUAACCAACUAUGGAAACCCGAAUACAUUGGGGCACUGUCGUGAUAAAUACGGUAUAAGUAUGUAGGUCAACGCAAACAUUGCAGGCAGUGUUAAAUGUUCAUUUGUAUCCCUCCUAAAAAAAUAAUUUUCCU